This 273-nucleotide ribosomal RNA is filed under the name Triticum aestivum (bread wheat). Its description in RNAcentral is "partial small subunit ribosomal RNA". Lineage: Eukaryota; Viridiplantae; Streptophyta; Magnoliopsida; Poales; Poaceae. The record is from RNAcentral.
AUGAACCCAUCAUCCGCCCCGGGUCCUGACGGCUUGCCGGUUAAGUUCUUUCAGACCUUCUGGCCCGCCAUCAAACAGGAGAUCAUGGCCAUCUUCGAGGAGUUUUAUGUCGGUUCCAUCGACCUCAAGCGCCUCAACUAUGGCAUUAUCACUUUGAUCCCCAAGGUCCCGGGCGCCUCCGACAUCCGCCAGUUCCGCCCUAUCACGGUGAUCAAUGUGAUCUUCUGCAUCCUUGCCAAGGGGUACGCCAAUAGGGUGGCCCCUUUAGCUGAC